This 67-nucleotide transfer RNA is filed under the name Agrilinae sp. 2 ACP-2013. RNAcentral describes it as "tRNA-Phe". The record is from RNAcentral. Lineage: Eukaryota; Metazoa; Arthropoda; Insecta; Coleoptera; Buprestidae.
UUUAAGUAGCUUAAGUUUAGAGUUUAAUAUUGAAGAAAUUAAUGUGAUUUUUUAAAUCCUUGAACAA